Molecule: ribosomal RNA, 252 nt
Filed under: uncultured bacterium
Lineage: Bacteria
Description: partial 16S ribosomal RNA
Rfam family: Bacterial small subunit ribosomal RNA
Source: RNAcentral
UACGUAGGGGGCAAGCGUUGUCCGGAAUUCUUGGGCGUAAAGCGCGCGCAGGCGGUUCUUUUAGUCUGGUGUAUAAGUGCGGGGCUCAACCCCGUGAGGCACUGGAAACUGGGGAACUUGAGUGCAGAAGAGGAGAGCGGAAUUCCACGUGUAGCGGUGAAAUGCGUAGAGAUGUGGAGGAACACCAGUGGCGAAGGCGGCUCUCUGGACUGUAACUGACGCUGAGGCGCGAAAGCGUGGGGAGCAAACAGG